UACGGAGGGGGCUAGCGUUGUUCGGAAUUACUGGGCGUAAAGCGCACGUAGGCGGCUUUGUAAGUUAGAGGUGAAAGCCCGGAGCUCAACUUCGGAAUUGCCUUUAAGACUGCAUCGCUUGAAUCAUGGAGAGGUCAGUGGAAUUCCGAGUGUAGAGGUGAAAUUCGUAGAUAUUCGGAAGAACACCAGUGGCGAAGGCAGCCCCCUGGGAUAACACUGACGCUCAUGCACGAAAGCGUGGGGAGCAAACAGG
Molecule: ribosomal RNA, 253 nt
Filed under: uncultured bacterium
Lineage: Bacteria
Description: partial 16S ribosomal RNA
Rfam family: Bacterial small subunit ribosomal RNA
Source: RNAcentral